CACACACUGCACCCCCCGCACUAACACACAAACAUAUUGCUCCCCUGCACUAACACACAAACACAGUACACACACUGCACCCCAUGUACUAGCACACAAACAUACUGCUCCCCUGCACUAACACGGCACACACUGCAUCCCCUGUACUAACACACAAACACAGUACACACACUGCACCCCAUGUACUAGCACACAAACAUACUGCUCCCCUCCACUAACACACUACACACACUAUACCCCCU
This is a non-coding RNA of Pelobates cultripes (western spadefoot toad), 242 nucleotides long. The record is from the annotation of a GenBank genome assembly. NCBI's taxonomy places the organism in Eukaryota, Metazoa, Chordata, Amphibia, Anura, Pelobatidae.